This 475-nucleotide ribosomal RNA is filed under the name uncultured bacterium. RNAcentral describes it as "bacterial SSU rRNA". It matches the Rfam family "Bacterial small subunit ribosomal RNA", at positions 30 to 524 of the family's 1533-position model. The record is from RNAcentral.
AUUGAACGCUGGCGGCAUGCCUUACACAUGCAAGUCGAACGGUAACGCGGGGCAACCUGGCGACGAGUGGCGAACGGGUGGGUAAUAUAUCGGAACGUGCCCAGUCGUGGGGGAUAACUGCUCGAAAGAGCAGCUAAUACCGCAUACGACCUGAGGGUGAAAGCGGGGGAUCUUCGGACCUCGCGCGAUUGGAGCGGCCGAUAUCAGAUUAGGUAGUUGGUGGGGUAACGGCCUACCAUGGCGACGAUCCAUAGCUGGUUUGAGAGGAUGAUCAGCCACACUGGGACUGAGACACGGCCCAGACUCCUACGGGAGGCAGCAGUGGGGAAUCUUUGGACAAUGGGGGGCAACCCUGAUCCAGCCAUGCCGCGUGAGUGACGAAGGCCUUAGGGUUGUAAAACUCUUUCAGCGGGACGAUAAUGACGGUACCCGCAGAAGAAGCCCCGGCUAACUCCGUGCCAGCCGCCGCUGUAAC